RNAcentral lists this ribosomal RNA (495 nucleotides) under uncultured bacterium. Its description in RNAcentral is "partial 16S ribosomal RNA". It matches the Rfam family "Bacterial small subunit ribosomal RNA", at positions 28 to 507 of the family's 1533-position model. The record is from RNAcentral.
GACGAACGCUGGCGGCGUGCCUAAUACAUGCAAGUAGAACGCUGAAGGAGGAGCUUGCUUCUCUGGAUGAGUUGCGAACGGGUGAGUAACGCGUAGGUAACCUGCCUGGUAGCGGGGGAUAACUAUUGGAAACGAUAGCUAAUACCGCAUAAUAGUAGAUGUUGCAUGACAUUUACUUAAAAGGUGCAAUUGCAUCACUACCAGAUGGACCUGCGUUGUAUUAGCUAGUUGGUGGGGUAACGGCUCACCAAGGCGACGAUACAUAGCCGACCUGAGAGGGUGAUCGGCCACACUGGGACUGAGACACGGCCCAGACUCCUACGGGAGGCAGCAGUAGGGAAUCUUCGGCAAUGGACGAAAGUCUGACCGAGCAACGCCGCGUGAGUGAAGAAGGUUUUCGGAUAGUAAAGCUCUGUUGUAAGAGAAGAACGAGUGUGAGAGUGGAAAGUUCACACUGUGACGGUAUCUUACCAGAAAGGGACGGCUAACUACGUG